UGAAUACGAGAUGCUACGGCGUCGAAGCAGUCUAUGUCAUACUUCCAAGAAAAGCUCGCACUGUCAUAAACAAAUAAUGCCUGUACCAUAACCGACACAGGUGGGUAGGUAGAGUAUACUAAGGGGCGCGAGAUAACUCUCUCUAAGGAACUCGGCAAAAUGACUCCGUAACUUCGGGAGAAGGAGUGCCUUAUUUAUAAGGUUGCAAUAACAAGAUCCAAGCAACUGUUUAUCAAAAACACAGGUCUCCGCUAAGUCGUAAGACGAUGUAUGGGGGCUGACGCCUGCCCAGUGCCAGAAGGUUAAAGAAGUUGGUUAGCAUUCGCGAAGCUGAUAACUGAAGCCCUGGUGAACGGCGGCCGUAACAAUAACAGUCCUAAGGUAGCGAAAUUCCUUGUCGGGUAAGUUCCGACCCGCACGAAAGGCGUAAUGAUUUGGAUACUGUCUCGGAGAGGGGCUCGGUGAAAUAGACUUGUCUGUGAAGAUGCGGACUACCUGCACCAGGACAGAAAGACCCUAUGAAGCUUUACUGUAACUUGAGAUUGAAAUUGGACUUUACUUGCGCAGUAUAGGUGGGAGGCGUUGAUAAUAUUCUUGCGGGAUUAUUUGAGCCAUCAGUGAGAUACCACUCUUGUAAUGUUAGAUUUCUAACUUUGUAUCAUUAUCUGGUCAAAGGACAGUUUCAGGCGGGCAGUUUGACUGGGGCGGUCGCCUCCUAAACGGUAACGGAGGCGCACAAAGGUUUCCUCUGAACGGGUAGAAAUCGUAUCUAGAGUGUAAAGGCAUAAGGAAGCUUGACUGUGAGACCUACAAGUCGAGCAGGGACGAAAGUCGGUCUUAGUGAUCUGACGGUGCUGAGUGGAAAGGCCGUCACUCAACGGAUAAAAGUUACUCUAGGAUAACAGGCUGAUCUCCCCCAAGAGUUCACAUCGACGGGGAGGUUUGGCACCUCGAUGUCGGCUCAUCGCAUCCUGGGGCGGUAGUACGUCCCAAGGGUUGGGCUGUUCGCCCAUGAAAGCGGUACGCGAGCUGGGUUCAGAACGUCGUGAGACAGUUCGGUCCAUAUCCGGUGUAGGCGUUAGAAUAUUGAGAGGAGCCUUCUUUAGUACGAGAGGACCGAGAAGGACAUACCUCUGGUGUACCAGUUAUCGUGCCAACGGUAAACGCUGGGUAGCUAUGUAUGGAGUGGAUAACCGCUGAAAGCAUCUAAGUGGGAAGCCCACCUCAAGAUAAG
This 1234-nucleotide ribosomal RNA is filed under the name metagenome. Its description in RNAcentral is "bacterial LSU rRNA". It matches the Rfam family "Bacterial large subunit ribosomal RNA", at positions 1564 to 2808 of the family's 2925-position model. The record is from RNAcentral.